Molecule: ribosomal RNA, 696 nt
Filed under: Ammonia sp. T2B
Lineage: Eukaryota; Foraminifera; Rotaliida; Rotaliidae
Description: SSU rRNA
Rfam family: Eukaryotic small subunit ribosomal RNA
Source: RNAcentral
GCACACGCGUGCCGCGCACUGGUCUCAGAUAGCAACGAACGUGACCGUAUUCUAUUGUUGCAGUGAAAUGUACUUUCGAGUACGACCCACUGCUUAGUAUAUGCACGUGCUUCGGUGCGAGCAAUAUACAUUAAACUAUAGAGACCGCUGUUUCUUCUUUAAACCAGAGGAAGGAUACGGCAAUAACAGGUCUGUGAUGCCCUCAGAUGUUCCGGGCUGCACACGUGCUACAAUGAUCAUUGCACUGUGCAUCUAACCCAAUGUGCGUGGACGCCGCAUGCAUGUACUCCUUGUGGGUACACGCAUUGCUGAGCGACCACGCCGAACCUACUUCGAAAGUAAAAUUUCUCUGUGGGUAAUCCAUUAGAAGUAAUGACUCGCAUAGACCAUGGCACACCAAAUGUACGCGCAGGUCUACCCGGCUCGCCUUUGUGUGAGUGCAGUGCGUAGCUUGUUGUUUCGUACGUGCCACUCCGUAUUAAUUCGUACGUGGGGAUAGAUCAUUGUUUAAUUGUUGGUCUCGGUCUUAACUAGGAAUGCCUUGUACGGGUCUCUGGUUCAACAUACCACCCGGAAUACGUCCCUGCCCUUUGUACACACCGCCCGUCGCUCUUACCGAUGGAUUAUGCUAUGAAUCUAUAGGACUGCCAAAGUUGCCUCGGCUGCUUAGUGGAAAUAUAUAUGAAUAGCGGAUCU